GUGGUGGCCCUGCUCAUCCCCUUGGUGGCCUUGGUGGCCCUGGACACCUCCUGACCCUUCCUUUGGUGGCCCUGGCCAUCCUGCUGGUGGCCCUGCCCAUCCUCUUGGUGGCCCUGCUCACUCCCAUGGUGGCCUUGGUGGCCCUGGACACCUCCUGACCCUUCCUUUGGUGGCCCUGCUCAUCCUGGUGGUGGCCCUGCUCAUACCCUUGUUGGCCCUGCUCAUUUCCAUGGUGGCCUUGGUGGCCCUGUCCAUCCUGGUGGUGGCCCUGCUCAUUCCCAUGGUGGCCUUGGUGGCCCUGGCCACCUCCUGACCCUUCCUGUGGUAGCCCUGCCCGUCCUGGUGGUGGCCCUGCUCAUCUCCUUGGUGGCCUUGGUGGCCCUGGCCACCUCUUGGCCCUUGUGUGGUGGCCCUGGCCAUCCUGGUGGUGGCCCUGGCCACCUCCUGACCCUAUUUGUGGUGGCCCUGCCUGUCCCGGUGGUGGCCCUGCUCAUCCCCAUGAUGGCCUUGGUGGCCCUGGCCACCUCUUGGCCCUUGCGUGGUGGCCCUGGCCAUCCUGGUGGUGGCCCUGGUGGGCCUGCUCGUCGCCUUGGUGGCCCUGGCCACCUCUUGGCCCUUGCGUGGUGGCCCUGGCCAUCCUGGUGGUGGCCCUGGUGGGCCUGCUCGUCGCCUUGGUGGCCCUGGCCACCUCCUGGCCCUUCCUCUUGUGGCCCUGCCCUUCCUGUGGUGGCCCUGUCCUUCCUGGUGGUGGCCCUGGUCCUUCCCAUUGUGGCCUUGGUGGCCCUGGCCACCUCCUGCCUCUUCCUGUGGUGGCCCUGGUCCUUCUCAUGGUGGUCUUGGUGGCCCUGGCCACCUCCUGACCCUUUUUGUGGUGGCCCUGCCUGUCCUGGUGGUGGCCCUGACCAUUCCUGGUGGUGGCCUUGGUGGCCCUGCUCGUCCCCUUGGUGGCCCUGGCCACCUCCUGGCCCUUCCUCUUGUGGCCCUGCCCUUCCUGUGGUGGCCCUGUCCUUCCUGGUGGUGGCCCUGGUCCUUCCCAUUGUGGCCUUGGUGGCCCUGGCCCCCUCCUGACCCUUUUUGUGGUGGCCCUGCCUGUCCUGGUGGUGGCCCUGACCAUUCCUGGUGGUGGCCUUGGUGGCCCUGGUGGCCCUGGCCACCUCCUGACCCUUCCUGUGGUGGCCCUGGUCCUUCCCAUGGUGGCCUUGGUGGCCCUGACCAUCCUGAUGGUGGCCCUGCUCAUCCCUUUGGUGGCCUUGGUGCUUCUGGACACCUCCAGGCCCUUCCUCUGGUGGCCCUACUCAUCCUAGUGGUGGCCUUGGUGGCCCUGUCCAUCCUGGUGGUGGCCCUGCUCAUCCUGGUGGUGGCCUUGGUGGCCCUGACCAUUCCUGAUGGUGGCCCUGCUCAUCCUGAUGGUGGCCCUGGUCCUUCCCAUGGUGGCCUUGGUGGCCCUGGCCACCUCCUGACCCUAUUUGUGGUGGCCCUGACCAUCUUGGUGGUGGCCCUGCCCGUCCUGAUGGUGACCAUCCCUUGGCUGUCCCUGUGGUGGCCCCUGGUGGCCUUUGGUGGCCACGUGGUGACCUUUGGUGGCCCCUGGUGGCCCCUUGGUGGCCCCUGGUGCCCCGUGGUGGCCCCUGAUGGCCUUUGGUGGCCCCUGGUGGCCCCUGGUGGCCCCUGGUGGCCUUUGGUGGCCCCGUGUCCCCUCCUCUUCCUCCUCCGGUUUCGUUGGUUUGACGCACUCGACCCAAAGUUGGUUUGGCAGAAUU
Molecule: long non-coding RNA, 1760 nt
Filed under: Calidris pugnax (ruff)
Lineage: Eukaryota; Metazoa; Chordata; Aves; Charadriiformes; Scolopacidae
Description: lncRNA (ENSCPUG00000000397.1)
Source: RNAcentral